This 889-nucleotide ribosomal RNA is filed under the name uncultured bacterium. Its description in RNAcentral is "bacterial SSU rRNA". It matches the Rfam family "Bacterial small subunit ribosomal RNA", at positions 505 to 1397 of the family's 1533-position model. The record is from RNAcentral.
GUGCCAGCAGCCGCGGUAAUACGGAAGGUCCGGGCGUUAUCCGGAUUUAUUGGGUUUAAAGGGAGCGCAGGCGGAGGGUUAAGCGUGACGUGAAAUGUAGCCGCUCAACGGCUGAACUGCGUCGCGAACUGGCUUUCUUGAGUGAGUACGACGUCAGCGGAAUUCGUGGUGUAGCGGUGAAAUGCUUAGAUAUCACGAAGAACUCCGAUUGCGAAGGCAGCUGACGAGUCCUUUACUGACGCUAAAGCUCGAAGGUGCGGGUAUCGAACAGGAUUAGAUACCCUGGUAGUCCGCACGGUAAACGAUGGAUGCCCGCUGUUGGCGAUACAAUGUCAGCGGCCAAGGGAAACCGUUAAGCAUCCCACCUGGGGAGUACGCCGGCAACGGUGAAACUCAAAGGAAUUGACGGGGGCCCGCACAAGCGGAGGAACAUGUGGUUUAAUUCGAUGAUACGCGAGGAACCUUACCCGGGCUUGAACUGCAGCAGAACGAUUCAGAGAUGAUGAGGUCCUUCGGGACUGCUGUGGAGGUGCUGCAUGGUUGUCGUCAGCUCGUGCCGUGAGGUGUCGGCUUAAGUGCCAUAACGAGCGCAACCCUUUUCGCCAGUUGCCAUCAGGUGAUGCUGGGCACUCUGGGGACACUGCCACCGUAAGGUGUGAGGAAGGUGGGGAUGACGUCAAAUCAGCACGGCCCUUACGUCCGGGGCUACACACGUGUUACAAUGGGUGGUACAGAGAGUCGAGUGCCGGCAACGUCGCUCCAAUCCUUAAAGCCAUCCUCAGUUCGGAUUGGGGUCUGCAACCCGACCCCAUGAAGCUGGAUUCGCUAGUAAUCGCGCAUCAGCCAUGGCGCGGUGAAUACGUUCCCGGGCCUUGUACACACCGCCCGU